AGUGAACGCUGGCGGUAGACCUAACACAUGCAAGUCGAACGGCAGCACAGUAAGAGCUUGCUCUUACGGGUGGCGAGUGGCGGACGGGUGAGGAAUACAUCGGAAUCUACUUUUUCGUGGGGGAUAACGUAGGGAAACUUACGCUAAUACCGCAUACGACCUACGGGUGAAAGCAGGGGAUCUUCGGACCUUGCGCGAUUGAAUGAGCCGAUGUCGGAUUAGCUAGUUGGCGGGGUAAAGGCCCACCAAGGCGACGAUCCGUAGCUGGUCUGAGAGGAUGAUCAGCCACACUGGAACUGAGACACGGUCCAGACUCCUACGGGAGGCAGCAGUGGGGAAUAUUGGACAAUGGGCGCAAGCCUGAUCCAGCCAUCCCGCGUGGGUGAAGAAGGCCUUCGGGUUGUAAAGCCCUUUUGUUGGGAAAGAAAAGCAGCAGGUUAAUACCCCGCUGUUCUGACGGUACCCAAAGAAUAAGCACCGGCUAACUUCGUG
Molecule: ribosomal RNA, 492 nt
Filed under: uncultured bacterium
Lineage: Bacteria
Description: partial 16S ribosomal RNA
Rfam family: Bacterial small subunit ribosomal RNA
Source: RNAcentral